GUUGCCAUAGUAACAGCGGAGCUUAUCAACAACAGGCGAUGUAUUUUUUUAGCAAAGAUAUUAACGGUAGCUAGCAAGCAGGCUAUCAAAGGAAUAUUAGCUAACUGAUGAGAUCAAAUGGCUGACAAACGUGGUUUGGAGAAACUGGACUUUUGUGCAUUAAGCAUCGAGCAACAGCAGCAACUCCGACAAUUUAAGAGAUGUAUUUCUCAAAAGACCCACAGGCAUUCGAGAGUAUGCAGCAGAUUACUUCACCGCUCCAAACUGCAGGGUGAUCCUGCCCACACAGGCACAGACUGAAUCCUUACCGGAUUGUUUGGCAGUUCAACUGUUAUUGAAGUGUAACGCUGUAACAGGCCUCUUUUCUCUGUGUUCUGUACAUCCUCUGUAUUGACUAGUUAUGUCAAAGUAACAUGAUGGGAAUGUACUGGCACCCAGGCAGAUGUUCUUACUGAGCAUCAUUACAACAGGUUAGUUACAGGGCUACAGAAGGAUGUUUUAUACCGCUGGUUGAGAGGAAAAGAUUUCUAGGCCUGUAGGGUGGAGUGGACAGCCUCUUUACAGGAGUUCUCAGGGUAAAGUCUAAAUGGGAUCAUUGGGACGUCCCAACUCUGACGUUAAGCCAUCGAAGUUGAAAUAUAAACCGGUUAAGGUUACCGAUGUCCCAAGGAUUCCGGAUAGCACUAACUUUUUUCUCAAGCCUCAAGAGUUCCCCCUUCUGGACUCUUAUGUACUUCCACUAACUCCCCAGACAUUAAGCAAGAUGAGACAAUGUGACCGCAGCAAUACUGACCAUAACUUUAGAAUGAUCUGACCACACUGGAUACACAGUUUAAAUGUUUAAUGAAUUAAAAAUCAUCAAGUAACCAGCGCAUCAGGCUUUGCUUUAGUAAAAACAGGUCAAUUCCAUCUGUUACAAAUAAUUCAGAAUUCUGUUUGAUUCACAUUUUAUAAUCUGACACGCUACAAAAAUAGGCACAUCUGGUUUAACAAUUAAGUGAUUGUAUAGAGAAGAAGACCCUGAAAUUGUAUAAAAACCUAGACCCUGACAAUAUUGGACAUUUCAACAGUAGGCCUACGUAGUACAUUCUGUAACCAACAUACUGUGGUAGAGCAUGAUGAAUAGAGCUUUUAAAUCCUGAGCGAAGGGCACAAAUCAUCAAUG
This is a long non-coding RNA of Oncorhynchus kisutch (coho salmon), 1165 nucleotides long. RefSeq lists it as uncharacterized. The transcript is spliced from 3 exons. NCBI's taxonomy places the organism in Eukaryota, Metazoa, Chordata, Actinopteri, Salmoniformes, Salmonidae. The record is from RefSeq and is a predicted model, not a curated record.